UUUAACGGCCGCGGUAUCCUGACCGUGCAAAGGUAGCGCAAUCACUAGCCUCUUAAUUGGGGGCCCGUAUGAAUGGCUAAACGAGGGCUCGACUGUCUCCUCACCCCAGUCAAUGAAACUGAUCUCCCCGUGCAGAAGCGGGGAAUUUUCCCACAAGACGAGAAGACCCCAUGAAGCUUUAGACACCCUGAACCCAAGGUUACGUUUCUUAUCUCACAAGUGCUCCGCCUACCCCUUUUGAACAUGUCUUCGGUUGGGGCGACCUAGGAGGAGAACUGAGCCUCCUUGUGAUAAGGGACAAAACCCCUACCCCCUAGAGCUACCCCUCUAAGCAGCAUAACCCUGACCUCACAGACCCGGCAAUGCCGAUCAACGGAACGAGUUACUCUGGGGAUAACAGCGCAAUCC
This 408-nucleotide ribosomal RNA is filed under the name Cyclothone pseudopallida (slender bristlemouth). RNAcentral's name for it is "16S ribosomal RNA". It matches the Rfam family "Bacterial large subunit ribosomal RNA", at positions 1923 to 2488 of the family's 2925-position model. Lineage: Eukaryota; Metazoa; Chordata; Actinopteri; Stomiiformes; Gonostomatidae. The record is from RNAcentral.